GAUGAACGCUGGCGGCGUGCUUAACACAUGCAAGUCGAACGGAAAGGCCAAUGCUUGCACUGGUACUCGAGUGGCGAACGGGUGAGUAACACGUGGGUGAUCUGCCCUGUACUUCGGGAUAAGCUUGGGAAACUGGGUCUAAUACCGGAUAGGACAACUUUUUGGAUAUUGUUGUGGAAAGCUUUUGCGGUAUGGGAUGAGCUCGCGGCCUAUCAGCUUGUUGGUGGGGUAAUGGCCUACCAAGGCGUCGACGGGUAGCCGGCCUGAGAGGGUGUACGGCCACAUUGGGACUGAGAUACGGCCCAGACUCCUACGGGAGGCAGCAGUGGGGAAUAUUGCACAAUGGGCGCAAGCCUGAUGCAGCGACGCCGCGUGGGGGAUGAAGGCCUUCGGGUUGUAAACUCCUUUCGCUAGGGACGAAGCUUUUUUGUGACGGUACCUGGAGAAGAAGCACCGGCUAACUACGUG
RNAcentral lists this ribosomal RNA (468 nucleotides) under uncultured bacterium. Its description in RNAcentral is "partial 16S ribosomal RNA". It matches the Rfam family "Bacterial small subunit ribosomal RNA", at positions 28 to 507 of the family's 1533-position model. The record is from RNAcentral.